AGAACGAACGCUGGCGGCAUGCCUAAUACAUGCAAGUCGAGCGGUAAGGCCUUUCGGGGUACACGAGCGGCGAACGGGUGAGUAACACGUGGGUGAUCUGCCCUGCACUUCGGGAUAAGCCUGGGAAACUGGGUCUAAUACCGGAUAUGACCUCCUAUCGCAUGGUGGGUGGUGGAAAGAUUUAUCGGUGCAGGAUGGGCCCGCGGCCUAUCAGCUUGUUGGUGGGUAAUGGCCUACCAAGGCGACGACGGGUA
This 254-nucleotide ribosomal RNA is filed under the name uncultured soil bacterium. Its description in RNAcentral is "partial 16S ribosomal RNA". It matches the Rfam family "Bacterial small subunit ribosomal RNA", at positions 26 to 285 of the family's 1533-position model. The record is from RNAcentral.